UACGAAGGGGGCUAGCGUUGUUCGGAAUCACUGGGCGUAAAGCGCACGCAGGCGGAUCGUUAAGUCAGGGGUGAAAUCCCGAGGCUCAACCUCGGAACUGCCUUUGAUACUGGCGAUCUUUGAGUCCGGGAGAGGUGAGUGGAACUCCGAGUGUAGAGGUGAAAUUCGUAGAUAUUCGGAAGAACACCAGUGGCGAAGGCGGCUCACUGGCCCGGUACUGACGCUGAGGCACGAAAGCGUGGGGAGCAAACAGG
Molecule: ribosomal RNA, 254 nt
Filed under: uncultured bacterium
Lineage: Bacteria
Description: partial 16S ribosomal RNA
Rfam family: Bacterial small subunit ribosomal RNA
Source: RNAcentral